CCUGUAUUUUGCCAGGAGCAGCCUCCUUCUUCUUUCCAGCUGUCUCCAAUAGAUGCAAUUGUUGCAAAGUACUGGAUGACACGUUUUGUGUUCACAGUCUUUCCUGCACC
Long non-coding RNA from Alosa sapidissima (American shad), 110 nucleotides. RefSeq lists it as uncharacterized. The record is from RefSeq and is a predicted model, not a curated record. Lineage: Eukaryota; Metazoa; Chordata; Actinopteri; Clupeiformes; Clupeidae. The transcript is spliced from 3 exons.